ACUGAACGCUGGCGGCAUGCCUUACACAUGCAAGUCGAACGGCAGCACGGGAGCAAUCCUGGUGGCGAGUGGCGAACGGGUGAGUAAAGUAUCGGAACGUGCCCAGUCGUGGGGGAUAACGUAGCGAAAGUUACGCUAAUACCGCAUACGAUCUAUGGAUGAAAGCGGGGGAUCGCAAGACCUCGCGCGAUUGGAGCGGCCGAUAUCAGAUUAGGUAGUUGGUGGGGUAAAGGCUCACCAAGCCGACGAUCUGUAGCUGGUCUGAGAGGACGACAAGCCACACUGGGACUGAGACACGGCCCAGACUCCUACGGGAGGCAGCAGUGGGGGAUUUUGGACAAUGGGCGAGAGCCUGAUCCAGCCAUGCCGCGUGCAGAAUGAAGGCCUUCGGGUUGUAAACUGCUUUUGUACGGAACGAAAAGGUUUGGCCUAAUAAGCUGAGCUCAUGACGGUACCGUAAGAAUAAGCACCGGCUAACUACGUGCCAGCCGCCGCGGUAA
RNAcentral lists this ribosomal RNA (500 nucleotides) under uncultured bacterium. Its description in RNAcentral is "partial 16S ribosomal RNA". It matches the Rfam family "Bacterial small subunit ribosomal RNA", at positions 30 to 523 of the family's 1533-position model. The record is from RNAcentral.